Molecule: long non-coding RNA, 2771 nt
Organism: Oncorhynchus nerka (sockeye salmon)
Lineage: Eukaryota; Metazoa; Chordata; Actinopteri; Salmoniformes; Salmonidae
Exons: 8
Source: RefSeq, a predicted model, not a curated record
AGCGUACCAUAACAAAUGAACAACUCUUACAAAUAAAGUACAACGGCUUAACUUGUGAUUGUCUUUAUUAAGACAUCCUAUAUCAAACUUCAGCCAGAACACCCAGCCAGAACACCCAGCCAGAACACCCAGCCAGACCACCCAGCCAGACCACCCAGCCAGACCACCCAGCCAGAACACCCAGCCAGACCACCCAGCCAGACCACCCAGCCAGACCACCCAGCCAGACCACCCAGCCAGAACACCCAGCCAGAACACCCAGCCAGACCACCCAGCCAGAACACCCAGCCAGAACACCCAGCCAGACCACCCAGCCAGAACACCCAGCCAGAACACCCAGCCAGAACACCCAGCCAGCCCGAGCUGCUUGCAUGCCCACCAACCACCAGUCUAGUCAAUAACUGGCAAGUGUCUUCACUGACAUUUUCAAGCUGUACCUGGCUGAGUCUGUAUUACCUAUAUGUUUCAAGCAGACCACCAUAGUCCCUGUGCCCAAGAACACCAUGGUAACCUGCCUAAAUGACUGCUGACUCUGUAGCCAUGAAGUGCUUUGAGAAACCCUUAGACCCACUCCAAUUUGCAUAUCGCCCAAACAGAUACACAGAUGAUGCAGUCUCUAUUGCACUCAACACUGCCCUUUCUCACCUGGACAAAAAGAACACCUAUGUGAGAAUGCUAUUCAUUGACUACAGCUCAGCGUUCAACACCAUAGUGCACUCAAAGCUCAUCACCAAGUUAAGGACCCUGGGACUAAACACCUCCCUCUUCAACUAGAUCCUGGAGUUCCUGACGGGCCGCACCCAGGUGGUAAAGGUAGACAACAACACAUCUGCCACACUGAUUCUCAACACAGGAGUCCCUCAGGGGUGCGUGCUUAGUCACCUCCUGUACUCCCUGUUCACCCAUGACUGCAUGGCCAAGACUCCAACACCAUCAUUAAGUUUGCCGACGACACAGCGGCGGUAUGCCUGAUCACAGACAAUGAUGAGACAGCCUACAGGGAGGAGGUUAGAGACCUGUCAGUGUGGUGCCAGGACAACAAUCUCUCCCUCAACGUGAUCAAGACAAAGGAGAUGAUUGUGAACUACAGGAAAAGGAGGGCUGAGUACGUUUCACGGCAAAGGAGUGUGCGUCAGAGUGUACAGAUGCCAAAGAGACGUCAUCUGCUAAAGUAGAUGAGGAGGGCCUUGAGAUAGCAGUUUCCCGACACGGUGUGCUCCUCAAGGCCCUCAACAUGUGCUGAGAAGGAGCUGUCUUCUGCUGGCACGGUGGGAGCUGUCUUCUGCUGGCACGGUGGGAGCUGUCUUCUGCUGGCACGGUGGGAGCUGUCUUCUGCUGGCACGGUGGGAGCUCUCUUAUGCUGGCACUGUGGGAGCUGUCUUCUGCUGGCACGGUGGGAGCUGUCUUCUGCUGGCACGGUGGGAGCUGUCUUCUGCUGGCACGGUGGGAGCUGUCUUCUGCUGGCACGGUGGGAGCUGUCUUCUGCUGGCACGGUGGGAGCUGUCUUCUGCUGGCACGGUGGGAGCUGUCUUCUGCUGGCACGGUGGGAGCUGUCUUCUGCUGGCACGGUGGGAGCUGUCUUCUGCUGGCACGCUCUAAUCGGGAGGCCGCAAUCAGUCUGGUGCCGGUAACACAACCGGAUAGGAAGUCGAGCAGGUGAAUAGUUUUAUAUCCAGAGCUGCUGUCACGACAAAGUAUAUGUCCAAGGCUGAAUGUCAAAAGGCUGAAGGAGGAGACCGGCCUCCUGGACAUCAAUGAUGCUGACCUUAAGGAGUGGGUUGCUGAGGUGCAGCAGGGGCCUGAAAACGGUAACAAGAGGGGGCAUCAGAUUCUGAGAAAUUGUUGAGGACAAGGCAGCCUUGACAGCUGACAUUGUUCAACUUCACAAGCAGCAGGCAGAGUUUAGGCUCCCCACAGUGGCGGCUCAAUACUGUGGCCAUGGGAGAGACUUGGCACCAGCAAUCUUGGGCAGACUGAUGUUGGUGGACAGACUGCAGGAGGAAGAGAGGAUCCUGGUGCAGGAGAUGAAGAAGCACUGGGGGUGCCUACAAAGAGCAGCAGGAACUAUAGAGGCACUGUCCCUACAGCUGCAAUAUCAGAGCAAUGCAGUGGAGAUGUCAGAGGGGGGGAGGCAUCUCUGCCUCCUGAAGAGAAGAUUGAGUGAACUGACACAAGACACCAGGAACACCUACCACAAGCUGAUUCUGGGAGAAAGGGCUAUUUUUGAUGACUCUGAUGUAGAUUAAAACUCAGAUAGAAGUCCUAUUUCUAAAAGUCCUAUUGCUGAGAGCUCAGAUGACAACUGCUAUGCUUUCUGAAAUCAUACACCACCCCUACCUCUGUCUCUCUGUCUCGCUCUCUCCCGCAGGAGAGGGAGAAAGCAGCCACCACCUCCCUCGGGAGCAGCCUGGUCUUCCGACAUUGACCCCUGAUCCCUCACCUUCUGAACCCAUCCAGGGGAAUGUCAUUUGCCUGAUGAUGUGCUAGUGGAGAAGGAAUGUGUCAUUUCAGUGCAUUUGUGGCCAUAGUUCCUCACCUCCUCGACUCCGUUUCUUCCGGUCCUAGAGGAUGGCGACAUCAUUAGCAACUCAGAAUGUCGGUUGAGGACCUCUUUACUGAGGAAUGUGGUUGAUCUUCAUGAUUGUUUUAUUUAACAUUUCUUAGAGUAUUUUCUAUGCAGCUGUGACUGUGAUUUUGUGGAGUGAGUUGCAAAAGAGUCCUUGGUCUCAAUGGAACUGUAAAAAUAAAUAAAUAAAUGCAUUAACCACUAA